This 889-nucleotide long non-coding RNA is filed under the name Prunus dulcis (almond). RNAcentral describes it as "sRNA ncRNA". Lineage: Eukaryota; Viridiplantae; Streptophyta; Magnoliopsida; Rosales; Rosaceae. The record is from RNAcentral.
CCUUCAGAUUGGAAGUAUCCUCCUAUGUGACCUGGAUUACCAAAAGGAAAAUCUUUAUGUAAAUCUAGCCCCUCUAAGCAUAUCUGUGUCAAAAUUGACAACAACGUUGAUAUUACAAUUUAAAUAUACUAAGCACUAGCUCUAUAUAAAUCAUCUUCGAUCACCAUAAACUUUCCCCCAAAACGAACUAGCUAGCUCCCAUAGCGAAGCUCCAUAAUUAGAAAAACCUUCUGAAAUUAAGUUCAGAAGUUUCAUCCAAGUGUGUCUGCAGUGCAGAUAGCGAGCUACAAAUUAAACAUGAGUGGAGGUUACUAUUCUUCUUCUAAUUCCCAGCAUGAUCAUCAUCACCACCCUACUUUCCCUCUGCACUUAUGUUUCUUCCUUCUUGUAUUGCUCACGUUUGUUGGGUUUUCAUGGUACAUUAACUACGAGUCUGUGCUGGAGAGCAUGUUUGAUCAGGUGAAACUGGUGCUCAUGGUGUCUCCCUUGCUGUUGUUACUAGUGGUGCACUGGCUUUCCAACGAUGACCGGAGGCGGGUGCACUCUCUCAUACCCUUACCUGAAAAAGACUCCCUUCAUAGGGCUGGAGGAACUCCAUGGGGAGUUGGAUUUCUGCUUGUUUUCCUGUUUUUUAUGAUUUCUUACCAGUCUUACUUUCAAGAACGUUGGUUUCCUCUUCUAAGCAGAUAGCACCACUUCUACGUAAUCUACUUUUCUGUUGUUAUUAUAUGUGUAAACCAGGUUUCUGCAGCAGCAGGAGAGUUCUAGAACUUCUGAAAUGGCAUCUUCUUUUUCCCAUAUUGUAGUGAAGUUGAAUUAUAUACAAACGGAGUUGUUAUAGUUUUAUUAAUUUGCCAUCUUAUAUUGUGCAAUAUUAUAUGUAAAAAAU